GUGGAUACUGUGAUUAUUAGUUGUGGGUUAGAUACUAACCCGGUGGACCCUCUAUAGGUCCUGUCGACAUUCUUUUGCAGUCAGGAGACAGACGCGACAUCCGUACAGGUGGGUACUUCGAUCCGACGUCGGUACAGUAGUGCACGCUUGGUGACGGUUUCUUACCCUUACUCUUCUGUUGUUACUAUCGCAUAGUAUAUUGAGCCUUGCACCCUUGUUUAUUCGUUAUACUCUACUCGUUGUUUGCAUGCUUAGUAUCCUGAGUAGGAGUAGAGAAGUUCUAUCUACAUGCGUAUCUGUUGACCUAGUUGGUCUGUAGUUGCAUUCUGUAUCUGUUGACCUAGUUGGUCUGUUGUUGCAUUCUGUAUCUGUUGACCUAGUUGGUCUGUUGUUGCAUUCUGUAUCUGUUGACCUAGUUGGUCUGUUGUUGCAUUCAGUAUCUGUUGACCUAGUUGGUUGGUUGUGCAUUCCGUAUCUGUUGACCUGGUUGGUCAGUUCUCGUACUUCGUAUCAGUGACCUUGCUGGUCGGUUGGACUCUGUGGACCUUGGGUCCAGGUAACACAUUGACUCUCUCGUCAUGUGUUUCGAUCUGGUUGAUCGAGGUUCGGCGUUGUACGUCCUUGUUUCUGGCUUCGGCCUAGGCACCGGUUUCAGCCGGAUUUUGUAUUGAGCAUACCAUCAUGACUUAGUCACAGCACUUGGGGGUAUUCACGACACCGGAUCGGUUUGGCCACCGAUCGGAGGUGUACUUAUCCGGAUGGGUCGUCCUGUGGGGCGGGUGAAUCAGGUCGGUGCAGGUUAGUGACAGGCAGCGCUUGAGGUCUGCGGACCAAUAUAGCAGGUACCAGAUUGGGUAUAUUUGGACUUCUUGUCCGGUUGAUGCAUAUAACUAUAGUAGCGGUUGUUGCUUGUAUACCUUCAGUUCUUUCAUUACAUUGUCUUGCUACUAUAGUCUUGUUACAUUUAUAUAUUCAGUUGUCCAUUACAGUAGCGGUAGUUGUACUUCUUUCAUAUAUAUGUCUCAUUCAUUCAUUAUUAUUACUACUGUAUUUCUACUGACCCGUACUGUUGUUUAGCUCUUCCUGAUCCGGUGAGUACUCCUCGCCUUCAUCGGCUUGCGGUACCCACUGGGAGGGGAGACAUGUUUACAUGUUCUCACCUCCCCCACCAUUUUUCAGGUAUUGCGGGCGGUGAGAGUCGAGACGAUAUGUGAGACACGUUCGUAGCGGUCGAUAGAGCUUCCGACCCAGGUUAUUCGGUUUAGU
RNAcentral lists this long non-coding RNA (1266 nucleotides) under Ananas comosus (pineapple). RNAcentral describes it as "long non-coding RNA (ACOM_LNC044151)". The record is from RNAcentral. Lineage: Eukaryota; Viridiplantae; Streptophyta; Magnoliopsida; Poales; Bromeliaceae.